Molecule: long non-coding RNA, 395 nt
Organism: Lepisosteus oculatus (spotted gar)
Lineage: Eukaryota; Metazoa; Chordata; Actinopteri; Semionotiformes; Lepisosteidae
Source: RefSeq, a predicted model, not a curated record
UAAGAGUUGGGCUGAAAUUUAAACUCUCAGACAGACUCUUCAAGGGCAGGAUUGGACACCUCUGUUCUAAAGAUGAAAGGCUAUCUGAAGGAUCUUCUAAGACAUUUAACAUGACCCCAUUCAUUUAUCUUGUCAGACUUCACCAGGUGCAAUCCAGAAAAUCCAGGAAGUCAUAAAGAAUUUCAAAAUAACAUCUGAAGACAUGUGGGAUUUUUCACCAUGGGUAACGUCAGGUUUCAUGCCUCAACCAUCAAGAAAAAAAAUGGUUUUCAUGUGAAGAUAGCCAAGAAGAAACCAUUGCUCUCUAAAAAGAACAAUGCCAUCCAUCUCAUUUACCAAUGAUCAACUGGAUGAUCCACAAGACUGGAACAACUGGAAUGAUUUUGUCUGGACAA